AGUGAACGCUGGCGGUAGGCCUAACACAUGCAAGUCGAACGGCAGCACAGUAAGAGCUUGCUCUUACGGGUGGCGAGUGGCGGACGGGUGAGGAAUACAUCGGAAUCUACUUUUUCGUGGGGGAUAACGUAGGGAAACUUACGCUAAUACCGCAUACGACCUACGGGUGAAAGCAGGGGAUCUUCGGAACUUGCGCGAUUGAAUGAGCCGAUGUCGGAUUAGCUAGUUGGCGGGGUAAAGGCCCACCAAGGCGACGAACCAUAGCUGGUCUGAGAGGAUGAUCAGCCCCACUGGGACUUAAGCACGGUCCAGACUCCUACGGGAGGCAGCAGUGGGGAAUAUUGGACAAUGGGCGCAAGCCUGAUCCAGCCAUACCGCGUUGGUGAAGAAGGCCUUCCGGUUGUAAAGCCCUUUUGUUGGGAAAGAAAAGCAGCAGGUUAAUACCCCGCUGUUCUGACGGUACCCAAAGAAUAAGCACCGGCUAACUUCGUG
Molecule: ribosomal RNA, 492 nt
Filed under: uncultured bacterium
Lineage: Bacteria
Description: partial 16S ribosomal RNA
Rfam family: Bacterial small subunit ribosomal RNA
Source: RNAcentral